Molecule: RNA transcript, 4659 nt
Organism: Hemibagrus wyckioides
Lineage: Eukaryota; Metazoa; Chordata; Actinopteri; Siluriformes; Bagridae
Exons: 6
Source: RefSeq, a predicted model, not a curated record
AUUUCUCUCUUCCCUAAGGACAUACUGAAUUCAUUUAUACAACAGAGAAUGAAGUAAAACUGUCCUGCAACACCAACAAAUGGCAAAUAAGCACAAAGUCUGACAACAUAAUUGAUGUGAAUUGCACAGUGAAGUGUGUUCCUGGUGAACCACUCAGACUUAACAAUAUCCAUGAAUUCCAUACAAAUAACGAAUCAGACAAAGUUGAUGAAAAAUUUCCGCUAAUAGCAUCAAGUGGAUUUUUUCGAUGUGUCACUGCUCUGGAUUCUGGUUUCUUGUAUCCAUUCAAACCGUCUCCCAACACUGUCACGUCAUACAUAGUCGCCACUGCAAAUGAAGCCAUAACAACCAAGUCUGUGGAGAGAUCUUCAGUCGAGCUAACUGAAGGAGAAGAUGUACUUUUAAACUGCAGUUUCAUCUUUACAGAAGGAUAUAACAGUGAGGAUUUCUCUGUUUACUGGAUCAAGACCAUUGAAAAGAACAGUAUCUGUGUGUAUUCUUAUGAUCUUGAAAACGCUUAUGGUAUAGAGUACAAUCGUCAUUGCAAUGUGCAAGAAGAUCUGCUUCACAGACUCUCAAACCAAACUGACGGCAGAAACACCAACCAUAACAUCAGGAUCAGUAACGUAACAGAGUCAGAUGCUGGACAAUAUCUUUGUGUUUUACAAGUGCGCCAUUAUAAUAAAGCAAAAGCAACAUGGAAGAUCAUAAAUAAUGUUACAGUCAGUGUACCUAAAGGAUCUGAGGACAAAGGAUCUGGAAUAGCUGAAAUAAUGACAGAUGGCGAGUCUCUCAUCCGCUUAUGUGUUACACUGCCAAUAAUACUGGGUGUUCCGAUAGCUGUUGUGGUGGUACGUUUAUGGAAAAAGAAUAAAACCUCUCCAAGAUCUCAGACUAUGGAACUGAAAACAAUCCAACAUAGAGAUGAAACUUAAAUGAACUUUGAAGCACGAGAACAACACAGCACUUAGGAAGAAUGUUUAAGAUGUGUUUAAUAUGUUCUCUUUAUUAAGAUUUCUUUUACUUAUUUUAAUGCUCCUAUUAUUAUACAGUAUGUCUUUCUCAUUUCAAAUGUAUAAAAUCAAUACAUCAUAUAUAUAUAUAUAUAUAUAUAUAUAUACAGUAUUCUUUUUAUUCAGACUGUAAGACAUAAAAACGUUAGUAAGUGUUUAAUGAUGAAAAAUUAUUAUGGCAAUAAACAUUUAAUAUAUUUGUAGCAAUAUGUACAGUACAUUUACAGCAGGGAUCUCCAACCUUUUUUCCUCUGAGAGUUACUGGUGUUAUAUUAUUAGUAACAUUUAUUUACAUAGCUUAUUGCCAUAAACCAAACCAGCUGAAUGAGCUAUUUUUGUGUGAAUUUAAAAGAAAAUGUCAACAUCAGUCAUAUUUUGCAAUAAAUCAUUUUAAUUCACAUAAGCAGCAGUUGAGUCGAGUUAAUUGAUUUAACACAACGGGGUUGCUGAUUAGAUUUAUCAGUUAUUUAUGUCAGAUUUCAUUUAUUCACAUGUUAUUUAUCAGCAAACUGUUACUUAUAAGUCCCCUGUUACAGAACCUGAUGGCCUCAGCAAGACCGAAAAAAAAAAACGGCCAAGUGGUUUAUUUAUCUUUUAUCCAAACUACUUCAGUCUGCUUGAUGAAGCAUGUACCCACGGAGAAGCAGGCGAGCGACAUGUAGGAGACCCCUGAUUUACGAGAUGUUCUUAAGAGGUUUGACAGACUGACAUGGAGAACUGCUCAGUGAGAGCUUUCACACAAUCAGGGACAUGCUACAGCUAGCUACAGAAAUAUAAAUGCAAUUUUACAAUUUAUACCGCUACAGGAAUCUUCAGCCAAGUGUAAUUAUAAUAAAAACGCAAUGACAAUAUUUGUGUUUGCAAAUACUAUUUUCCAGAAACCCACUGACAAAUGCUCACCCUUACUUUUGCAGUAAAAAAAAAGGUUCAGGUUCUCUGUAUGAUGUAGGGAGUGAAGAAGAUUAGAUUAAGAUCGGAUUCAAGCAGGAUUCUUCAAAGCAAGGUCACACACAUCUGAAGUAGAAUGAUUUAUAUGAAGGUAUUUAAAGGCAUGUGAUUUAGUUUUUUUACUGAUCUAAAUUUGAACACAUUACCUAGGUAAAAUAUAUUCAUAACAUGGGAGGAUUAAUAUCUAUCAAGCAAAAUUGAAAAUGGAAAUUUCAGAAUUACACCUUGGGUCUUCAUCUGGUCUAGCAAUCAAAUCUUCCAUAUAUAAUGUACCUUUCAUAUUUUAAGAUUUGUCUAGUACUGUAUGCAGUGUCAUUGAUUUCCUGAUUGGCUAUGGUUCAAAAGUUGUGCUGUUUUCAUUUACAUUGUUUCAGUUGUUUGAUUCUGUCAGGAGCUACUGGGACAGUUCCCUGUCUGACCACCAGAGGGGGAGCUGGCAGGCAAUUCACCAUAGCAUGCUUUUUGUUUCUGUAAUCCUCAUGUGUGUUGUGCCACAUCCUUCCUAUUGUUCCUCUUUUCCCCGGUCACCUGUUCCUCAUUUAACCUAAUGUUUUGUCCUAUAUAUACCAACCCUUUUGUAUGUGUCUAUCUCAGUCACUGUUUUUUGUUUGUUUUUCGUGUGGUUCGGUUAUUGUGUUUCCAUGUUCCAUGUUAUUGUUAUGUUUCGUACCUCAUGCGGUAUUUGUCCAAUGUUCUGUGUAAGCCUUAUUUAGCUCUGUUAAUAAAGCAGCAAUUUUAUCCUCUCACAGGUCUGAUAAAAUGCAUGUGGGUUAUGUCAACUAGCAGGGAGAUCCGGGUUUGAUCCCUGCUUCAGGAAGUGUGUCCUGAAAGUUACAGAUUCAUAUCUCUUUGUAAUGAAGACAUUUAUGUUUAUGCAUGAUAUAUGUAUAAUUUGUUUAUCUAUAUGUUUCUGUAUACUGUUAAUAUUCUACAUUAAUAUAUGUAAGCUGCGGCCGCAAAAGCUGUGGCCGAAAAAGUUUCUGCGUUCCUCUUCUGCUAAUAAGUCAUAUCUCAAUGACGUUCUCUUGAACAUGAAGGAAUAACAGAUAAACAGUAAAGACUGAAAAAGUCAGGAAAGCAGAAACCCACAGGAGUCUCAGUUAUCAAAUUAUAUUAAUGAAUUGACAUUGUGAGAGACAUGUCACAUAGUAUCAUUACAGGUCUGCUUUCUGACAUGUAAAAUCUUAAAUGCUCUUAUGUGGAUAAACUGGUUCAUUGUGCUCUGAAGUACAAAUAUGCUUACCUCUAGUCCAGACCAUGUUGCUCUAUUUCUGUAUUCUGUCUCCUUGAAGCUUCAAAAGAACAAAAUCCACCUUUUUUGGGCCAAGUCAGAGCCCAAACCCAAUAGAAAUGCCGUGGAAUGACUUGAUGAGACACUCACUUAUGAGACGUCCAAAGAAUAUGACAGAGCUAAAGCAGGUCUACCAGGAAGAAUGGGCUAAAAUUCCCCCUGAAUGAUGUGCAGGUCUGAUUCACAGCUACAGGAAGCGCUUGGUUGAAAUUAUUGCUGCCAAGAGGGGAUCAACCAGUUAUUAAUUCAAAGGGUUCACUUACUUUUUCCACUACCAUUUUGUAUAUUGAAUGAGUUUUCAAUAAAGACAAGAAAGAUCAGAUUUUUUUGUUAUUAUUUAAGCACAUUACAUUUGUCAAUACUCUUGACUUAGAUGAAGAUCAGACCACAUUUUAUGACAAAUUUAUGCAGAAAACCAUAAAAUUCCAAAAGGUUCACAUACUUUUUCUUACCACUGUUCAUUCGCACACCAGCUUCUGUAUAUACUACCUGUCAUAGCUUUAUUUAUUUGUUGUACAUGUAUUUACAUAUUCAUCUGCACUUGCUCAUUUGCACAUUGAUACUAUUUGCACUUCUAGUAGAUGCUAAACAGCAUUUCAUUACUAUGUACUUUUUGUGAAAUCAUAAGAAAAGUGGAGAAUAUAUAAUGGGUUUUAACAGUUUUAAAACCAGUGUGUUAGUCUUUGGAAAUGUGCUGCAAAAAGUGUACGGUGUUUUUGGUCUGCAUAGACUUCAGUAUCGCUGACUUUAGUUUACACAGUGUAUUUUAAAAGCUCCUAUUAAACAACCAUAAGAACUCUUUAUCUGUUUAUUAUGAAUAGUGUAUUUGUAUUUGGUUAUACAAUUAGACUGUGUUCUAAGGUGUAGUGGUGACUUUAGCCUAAAGGUGGGGUCUUUGAUUUUGUGAUAUCUUAUAUCUCACUGUAAUGCCAUCAGCAGCAGCCUGGAGCAUGUACACACACACACACACACAUGCACACACUCUCAGACCACAAGUUGUGACAUUCACCACAGUCUAUAUGUCUGUUUGUUUUUCUGAUGACUUGCACAAAAAGUCUUGCACAGAACAAAUUUAUUUCCUGCAUCAGCCAAAAAUCUGUUCACCACAUUGAGCACUAUACUUCUUAAUCCAAUGGAAUUCAAGAUCUUCAAAGAUUCAGACAAGGUUGGUGAAAAAUAUCUGCUAAUAGAAGCAAGUGGAUUCCAAGAGCAAAAACCAGAUGAACAAGAACAAGAUGUCCAACAGCUCUGUUUAGUUCAGUUCAGCUCAGCCCUACUGUCACUGACACACUGCAAACCCCCAAUACACACAUUUACACAAACUUUGAAAUCAGAUACAGAUGUGCCAUGUUCAUUUGUUCAUUCCCCAACACUCCCUCUAAACCACACCCCCACAUGUGACAAUAC